ACAGCCACAUCAUGUUGAAGCACUCGUUUCAUACAAUCACUGAAGUUAAGCAACGUUGACCCUGGUCAGUACUGAGAUGGGUGACCACUUGGGAAUACCAAGUGCU
This is a non-coding RNA of Acanthosepion pharaonis, 106 nucleotides long. The record is from the annotation of a GenBank genome assembly. NCBI's taxonomy places the organism in Eukaryota, Metazoa, Mollusca, Cephalopoda, Sepiida, Sepiidae.